CCUCUUCCUCGCCGGGAAGUUUACUUUUUAGCUUGCGGUCAACAUAAACCAAUGGAAACUCCGGCAAGACAGGAACGUUCAAGUCAAAGUCAAGUUGACUAAUCAGGCUCGAAUUCAGAACUUCCAAUCCUUUAUUUUCAUUGUCACCGCUAUUUCCGCCGCCACUGUUACUUCCACCAUCAUAGUGGCGCCGUUUGUGUCCUCCCAAAGCCUGUCCGGAGGGAAAAGUUCUAUGGCAGAUGGAACAUUCGUGAGUCCUGCCACUUAAACUAACCGACGAGGGUGUUUUGGAAGUAGUAGUUACCAUAGGAGGGGUAGAUUGGUCGUCAACUACUCCCAUGAGUUUCCGAUGGCUAGCCUUGUGUCCACCUAGAGCCUGAUAAGUUGGGAAGGCUUUGUUGCAAACUUUGCACUUAUAGCUGAGUUUUAACGAUGGCGGGGGAGGUGGUGUGUCUUGGUGGUCGUGGGUGCCAUUGGCAAGCAUGAGAAGGCAGAGAGCUAAGUAUUC
RNAcentral lists this unclassified non-coding RNA (508 nucleotides) under Hevea brasiliensis (rubber tree). The record is from RNAcentral. Lineage: Eukaryota; Viridiplantae; Streptophyta; Magnoliopsida; Malpighiales; Euphorbiaceae.